UUUCAGAUGGUUACGGUCGAUGCAGGCCUCUCGAUAGGCUUGGUAAGCUUUAUUGACUUGUUCCCGCCCAACCGAGCUGCAUUCCUCUUCCAUCCGGGAGCCAAGCACCUGAACGUUCAACACACAGGAGAAGUUCCUGAUGUUUAGCUAAUGGACCAACAGAAAUGCUGGAAUGAAAGAACUGAGCAUAAUGAAGACAGCUUUUUGUACUGCAGGAAAAACUUACUUCAACAGAAAACCGACUUGAUCAGCAGAGCUUUGCAGAAAAGGUUACAGCUCCUCAAAUCUGGAAGAAGGAUGCCAGAAGGUCUUUCAGGAUGGUUCACCAAGUCCUGCCACAGACUUCUGCCCUGUUUUAAUCUGUUUGACUUCUCGUAAUUCAAAGUCACAUUCGUAUGCACUGCUGAAAAUGCCUCAGAGCUGACACUCUGAAACACCUGAGUGAAUACUGACAUCUUUGGAGCUGCAAUUCAUGAGGUAAUCUGUCCUACAGUAACCAGUUCAAGUGAAAGAUUUCUCACUAAAAUAUUUGAAGUAAUAUACUGACAAGCUAAUGCCUCUGAAUACAAUUGAUGUCCAUCUUGGCCUCCUUGAGGCAACCUUCACAAUAAUACUUUUUAUUCCCUUUACUUCAGCACAGUAGCUAAGUAUUUUGCCUGUGAUAAAUAUAUUUCAUUUACACUUUAGAAUGAUCUGCACACAAAACAGCCUACUUAAAAGGACUUUAAUCUUUAUGUCCAAAACUAAAUACAUUAAAUGAGUACCAGUACUACUGUUUGUAUUAACUAACUAAUGUCUAAAAGCCAACAAACAAAAACCCCAAUCUGAAUACACUGUUGACAGGAAACAGCAUUAAGUUCUAGCAGGACUAAUUAUGCUCCCUGUUUAUAAGCAAAUGAGUUUGAAGAGGUGGCACCACUUAAGUUUUCUUUCACACAAUGUGAAGAACAGAAGAACUAACAGGAACCACUUCUGUUGCUCACAUAGGUUAUAGAACAGCUUUGAUUCAAUACACUGAGUAUUUUGAGCAAAAUAAUGUUUUCCCAUAUCUUACUAAUGCUUGGCAGAAACAUCAUUUUUCUCUUUAAACAGCUUUAAGAACACUAGUCAUUAACACCAUGGGAGGCAGUUAAAUAUAAAACACAUUCUACAUACGAGGAACAUGGGAUGCAGAGGCUCUAAUAGCAAACAGACCACUGCACAAACAGAGCUCUGUAGUUUGAAAUGCUAAUCUUAUUCUUGGAUCAGAAGGAGAGAUAGUAAAAGCAGGAUUACAUUAAAUUUUUCCCAGUAUGAAGCAGAUUCUCAUUUUGGCCUAAUGGUUGAUUUGAAAGAGAAUAAAACAGUUCUGAAAAUAUUUCCAAAUAUCAAAUGCAAAUAAUUUCAAGAUGGUUGUUUUCCUGUUUGCCUUCCAGACUCGAAGAGCUUGACUUCCUAAUGGUAAUAUGAACAGUUUCCAGCUGUUGAUAACAACAGCGUAAUUUCUGUACGGAUUUAUCUUGCCUUACAGAGAAGGGUAUACAUAAAUGCAUGUAACCAUAAAAAAAUCCUUUAAAAUCAAGAAAUGCCUUUGAACCAAAGGAAUCCUGAGUGAGCAUGUUACAACCUUCACCUUAAUUUCAGAAAAGCUGUACUGUUUUUUUCUUCUUUUUUUUAAAGAUACUUCAGCAGAGCAAGGAAUAAAACAGAAUUCCUGCAGCCAGCAUCAAAAACUCCACACAGUACUUGGAGCAUAUGACACAAGAUGUUAAAACAAGCAAGACUUCCAGUCUCUUUAAGCAUCCAUCACUUUGCACCUCUCCUUCAGAAAUCUUAGGUUCUCUUUGAUUCCAGUUGUGAACAGACUGUUCUACAGAGAAAGGCAUCACUUUUUACACAUACUUGCUCCAUUUAAGAGUAAUAAAAAUUCUCACACGCACACCCACAUCUCAGCAGCUGCUACUUUGGCCGCUGUUCAUCCUUCCGUAUGGCCAAAGUCCACAGGUCCAGCGCCCUCCCAGGGAGUCCCAGAGCACAGGGGCACAGCCCGGCUGUCCCAGUGUACUGGGUGCUCCUUCAGAAACACGUCAGCAUGCGAGCUACAUCACACCCACCUCCAAAGCACUUUCGUUUUACUGCCUUCAGGAAAUGGAAACUCACUGUCUCUGUGCUCACACAUCACAUCACUUUAGCUCAUCUAUCCUGAACAUCUAGGUAAGCUACAAAAGCCAAGUAAAAUCUCCUUAGGUACAACAGGCAAUUUUUUUCAAUCUCAAGGUUUUUACAAUAAAUAAUCUACUCUCACAAGGACCAGAAGAGCAAUAAAAAGCCCAUUUUAUUACAAAAGAGCUUGAUAAAUUUUACUUUCUCUGAACAGCGUCAGACUCCAGUACCUCCACUGCUAAUUUGCAAACCUUAUGCAUCCUCAGUGUAAUGUAUUCAGUCUGCCUUUCUGUGGAUGCUGUCACAAUCAUCACUCUCCCUGACAACUACCUGAAAAGGGAGAAUAUAAAAACCCAGAAGUAGGAAUCAAUAAAAUAAAAUAUUAUCCUUUCAGUAUCAUAUAAUCCUGUUUAUUAAACUAUUACGUUUAAUGUUGAAAGUAAUUAAAAGCAGUACUAUCAAACAAACCUCAGUAGGAGCAAAAUGGCUUUUGGCUGUUAAACAUUUCUAGCACCAAUUAUAAGUAUCUUGAAAGGUUACUGAAUCUUUUCUUUUGCUGUUCAUUCAUUCCCAUUUCAAAAGGUUUAUAAGGAAUAACAAUUUCCAAAAGUUUAGAGGGCUUGAUUUGGAUUUUUUUUUCAUUUCUUCUUUUGUAAACCAAACAGCAGGUCCUACCUCUCAAUCACAAGUUUCCUUCUAUUCAAUUAAAUAGGUUAAUUACCAUUCAGUAAGUUCACAAGUUCAGUGAAUAAGUUCAGUGAAAAGCCUUUUGUAAUUGUAUUAUCUUUUAAUUCAAGUGGAAA
Serinus canaria (Common canary) is the source of this 2945-nucleotide long non-coding RNA. RefSeq lists it as uncharacterized. NCBI's taxonomy places the organism in Eukaryota, Metazoa, Chordata, Aves, Passeriformes, Fringillidae. The transcript has 3 exons. The record is from RefSeq and is a predicted model, not a curated record.